GACGAAGGGGGCUAGCGUUGUUCGGAAUUACUGGGCGUAAAGCGCGUGUAGGCGGUUGUUCGAGUUGGAUGUGAAAGCCUUGAGCUCAACUCAAGAAAUGCAUUCAGGACUGAAUGACUAGAGGACCGGAGAGGAUAGUGGAAUUCCCAGUGUAGUGGUGAAAUACGUAGAGAUUGGGAAGAACACCAGUGGCGAAGGCGGCUAUCUGGACGGUUUCUGACGCUAAGACGCGAAAGCGUGGGGAGCAAACAGG
Molecule: ribosomal RNA, 253 nt
Filed under: uncultured bacterium
Lineage: Bacteria
Description: partial 16S ribosomal RNA
Rfam family: Bacterial small subunit ribosomal RNA
Source: RNAcentral